AGUAAUCAAACGAGAUUUUCUUAGUAGCGGCGAGCGAACGGGAAAGAGGCCAAACCGGAGCGGGCAACCGCACCGGGGUUGAGGACAGUCAUCAAGUGUAAAUGAGGUAGAAGAAUCGAGCUGGAAAGCUCAGCCGCAGAAGGUGAAAGCCCUGUAAUCGAAACCUUGCAUACACGGGACUGUAUCCAGAGUACCACGAGACACGUGAAACCUUGUGGGAAGCAGGGGGGACCACCCUCCAAGCCAAAAUACUGAUAUCGACCGAUAGCGCAUAGUACCGUGAGGGAAAGGUGAAAAGAACCCCUGGCGGGGAGUGAAAGAGAACCUGAAACCGUAUGUCUACAAACAGUCGAAGUCUGUAUAUAUAUCAGGACGACGGCGUGCCUAUUGAAGAAUGAACCGACGAGUUACUGUUGCUAGCGAGGUUAAGUGGAAAACAUGGAGCCGCAGCGAAAGCGAGUCUGAACAGGGCGUUCAGUUAGUAAUAGUAGACCCGAAACCGUAGUGAUCUAUCCAUGGCCAGGUUGAAGCACAGGUAAAAUUGUGUGGAGGACCGAACUCGUGAGCGUUGAAAAGCUUUGGGAUGAGUUGUGGAUAGGGGUGAAAUGCCAAUCGAACACGGAGAUAGCUGGUUCUCCCCGAAAUAGCUUUAGGGCUAGCCUCGAGGUAGAGAGUAUAGGCGGUAGAGCACUGAUCGGGCUAGGGGCCAUACCGGUUACCGAACCUAGUCAAACUACGAAUGGCUAUACUUAUACUCGGGAGUCAGACAGUGAAUGAUAAGGUCCAUUGUCAAGAGGGAAACAGCCCAGAACACCGACUAAGGUCCCCAAUGUUACACUAAGUGGCGAAGGAUGUGGAAUUUCCAAAACAACCAGGAUGUUGGCUUAGAAGCAGCCACCAUUUAAAGAGUGCGUAAUAGCUCACUGGUCGAGAGACUCUGCGCCGAAAAUGUCCGGGGCUAAAGUGUAAAACCGAAGUCGUGUCAUAAGCGAAAAGAAUGGUGAGAAUCCAUUCCACCGAAAGCCUAAGGGUUCCUGAGCAACGAUCGUCGUCUCAGGGUAAGUCGGGACCUAAGCCGAGGCGGAACAGCGUAGGCGAUGGACAACAGGUUGAAAUUCCUGUACCGGUGUGAAUCGUUUGAUCGAUGGAGUGACACAGUAAGGUAGGUCAGCACGCGAUUGGAAGAGCGUGUUUAAGCAGGUAGGUUGAGUUAUAGGCAAAUCCGUAGCUCUAAAAGCUGAGAUGUGAUGACGAGCGACUAGCAAUAGUCGCGAAGUGAUUGAUCCUACACUGUCGAGAAAAGCUUCUAGGUAGAGACACAUCGCCCGUACCAAAACCGACACAGGUAGGCGGGGAGAGAAUCCUAAGGUGCGCGGGAAAACCCUCGUUAAGGAACUCGGCAAAAUGCCUCCGUAACUUCGGGAAAAGGAGGACUCAUGUAGUGUGAAGAGCAGCAACGCUUGGAGCAUGAAUGAGUGGCACAAGAGAGGCGCAAGCGACUGUUUACCACAAACACAGGUGCCUGCUAAAGCGAAAGCUGAUGUAUAGGUGCUGACACCUGCCCGGUGCUGGAAGGUUAAGAGGAGGGGUUAGACUUCGGUCGAAGCUCUGAAUUGAAGCCCCAGUAAACGGCGGCCGUAACUAUAACGGUCCUAAGGUAGCGAAAUUCCUUGUCGGGUAAGUUCCGACCCGCACGAAAGGUGUAACGACUUGCGCACUGUCUCAACGAGGGACCCGGUGAAAUUGAAGUACCUGUGAAGAUGCAGGUUACCCGCGACUGGACAGAAAGACCCCAUGGAGCUUUACUGCAACCUAAGAUUGAACUUAGUUAAUGAAUGUACAGGAUAGGUGGGAGAC
Molecule: ribosomal RNA, 1857 nt
Filed under: Klebsiella pneumoniae
Lineage: Bacteria; Pseudomonadati; Pseudomonadota; Gammaproteobacteria; Enterobacterales; Enterobacteriaceae
Description: partial 23S ribosomal RNA
Rfam family: Bacterial large subunit ribosomal RNA
Source: RNAcentral